GGAGCCUGCGGCUUAAUUUGACUCAACACGGGAAAACUCACCAGGUCCGGACAUGGGAAGGAAUGACAGAUUGAGAGCUCUUUCAAGAUUCUAUGGGAGGUGGUGCAUGGCCGUUCUUAGUUGGUGGGGUGACUUGUCUAAGUUAAUUCAGGUAACGGACGAGACGUCUAUGGAUAAAUGGGAGGUGGGAUGGUUUCCAUCCCGUUCUUCACUUAUUCAGACAAAUCACGAAAAGUGAUAGGAAGCGAGACGCAAUAACAGGUCUGUGAUGCCCUUAGAUGUUCUGGGCUGCACGCGCGCUACACUGAUUGGGGGAGCGAGUUUAUUACUGAGACCGAAAGGUCCAAGUAAUCUUUAAAUCCCAAUCGUGCUGGGGAUAGACGAUUGCAAUUAUUUGUCUUGAACGAGGAAUUCCUAGUAAACGCGAGUCAUCAGCUUGCGUUGAUUACGUCCCUGCCCUUUGUACACACCGCCCGUCGCUACUACCGAUUGGGUAUUUUAGUGAGUGUCUCGGACUGGAUGGGUUACUAUUCGGAAAGAGAAGCAAACUUGAAUACCUAGAGGAAGUAAAAGUCGUAACAAGGUUUCCGUAGGUGAACCUGCGGAAGGAUCAUUAAAGAGUAUUUUGUGCGCUAAGCGCAUAACAUGAAUGCCCGAGCAGUUGCUCGUGACAUGAACGCAUAUCUGAUUGGCUGAGUCUAAUUGUUAUUAUAAAAUAACCUUUAACAAUGGAUCUCUUGGCUCUUGCAACGAUGAAGAACGCAGUGAAGUGCGAAAAGUAGUGUGAAAUGCAUAACUGUGAAUCAUUAAAUUUUUGAACGCAUCAUGCACCUUUUGAACAAAAAGGUAUGGCUGUUUGAGUGUUACUAAAUUUCUGUUUUACAUUUGUUAAACGAGAUGUUGGAAGAAAAUGUCAAUUUUCUCUGAUUAAAAAUAGUGAGUCGCUUUAAGUCUUAUAAAUUGAUAAUCAUUUAUUUGUAAUUUUUAAAAGCUCAACUAUAUUACUCCUUUUUAACCUCAAAUCAGCCAAGUUUACCCGCCGAACUUAAGCAUAUCAGUAAGCGGAGGAAAAGAAACUAACAAGGAUUCCCCUAGUAACUGCGAGUGAAGCGGGAAGUGCUCAAAUUUAAAAUCUGGCAAAGUCUGCUUUGUCCGAAUUGUAAUCUAGAGGUGCUUUUUUGGGUGUAUAUCGGUGGCUCAAGUUCCUUGGAACAGGACAUCACAGAGGGUGAGAAUCCCGUCUGGGUCGCUUGAUAUGCAUCAUAUGAAAAGCUCCAACGAGUCAGGCUGUUUGGGAUUGCAGCUUAAAUUGGGUGGUAAAAAACAUCUAAAGCUAAAUAAUGGCAAGAGACCGAUAGCGAACAAGUACCGUGAGGGAAAGAUGAAAAGGACCUUGAAAAGGGGGUUAAAAAGAGUGUGAAAUUGUUAAAGGGGAAGCCUGUGUGUGUAGCGUUGGUUGGCGGUUGUUCGUAGUGUUAGAUAAAGGCUCGGGGAAGGUGUUGAAGGAGGCAACUCUUUCAAUUUAUAGCCUCAAGCUGCAAUAGCACUCUGGACAAAUCGAGGUGAAAAAUGGCUGGAAUUCAAGAAAUUCAUUCUAGCCGCUCUUUCACAACUCUUCACUGACCAUUACUCCUUUUUAGCCUCAAAUCAGCCAAGUUUACCCGCCGAACUUAAGCAUAUCAGUAAGCGGAGGAAAAGAAACUAACAAGGAUUCCCCUAGUAACUGCGAGUGAAGCGGGAAGUGCUCAAAUUUAAAAUCUGGCAAAGUCUGCUUUGUCCGAAUUGUAAUCUAGAGGUGCUUUUUUGGGUGUAUAUCGGUGGCUCAAGUUCCUUGGAACAGGACAUCACAGAGGGUGAGAAUCCCGUCUGGGUCGCUUGAUAUGCAUCAUAUGAAAAGCUCCAACGAGUCAGGCUGUUUGGGAUUGCAGCUUAAAUUGGGUGGUAAAAAACAUCUAAAGCUAAAUAAUGGCAAGAGACCGAUAGCGAACAAGUACCGUGAGGGAAAGAUGAAAAGGACCUUGAAAAGGGGGUUAAAAAGAGUGUGAAAUUGUUAAAGGGGAAGCCUGUGUGUGUAGCGUUGGUUGGCGGUUGUUCGUAGUGUUAGAUAAAGGCUCGGGGAAGGUGUUGAAGGAGGCAACUCUUUCAAUUUAUAGCCUCAAGCUGCAAUAGCACUCUGGACAAAUCGAGGUGAAAAAUGGCUGGAAUUCAAGAAAUUCAUUCUAGCCGCUCUUUCACAACUCUUCACUGACC
This 2250-nucleotide ribosomal RNA is filed under the name uncultured fungus. Its description in RNAcentral is "bacterial SSU rRNA". The stretch from base 1 to 616 matches the Rfam family "Eukaryotic small subunit ribosomal RNA", at positions 1178 to 1831 of the family's 1831-position model. Lineage: Eukaryota; Fungi. The record is from RNAcentral.